Molecule: ribosomal RNA, 455 nt
Filed under: uncultured Fastidiosipila sp.
Lineage: Bacteria; Bacillati; Bacillota; Clostridia; Eubacteriales; Oscillospiraceae
Description: bacterial SSU rRNA
Rfam family: Bacterial small subunit ribosomal RNA
Source: RNAcentral
CACAAGCGGUGGAUGAUGUGGAUUAAUUCGACGCAACGCGAAGACCUUACCUAGGAUUUGACAUCCUCUGACGACGUUAGAGAUAACGUUUCCCUUCGGGGCAGAGAGACAGGUGGUGCGAUGGGUUGUCGUCAGCUCGUGUCGUGAGAUGUUGGGUUAAGUCCCGCAACGAGCGCAACCCCUAUUGCCAGUUACCAUCAUUAAGUUGGGGACUCUGGCGAGACUGCCGUGGAUAACACGGAGGAAGGUGGGACGACGUCAAAUCAUCAUGCCCCUUAUGUCCUGGGCUACACACGUACUACAAUGGCAACAACAAAGAGCAGCAAGUCCGCGAGGCCAAGCGAAUCUCAAAAUGUUGUCCCAGUUCGGAUUGCAGGCUGAAACUCGCCUGCAUGAAGUCGGAAUUGCUAGUAAUGGCAGGUCAGCAUACUGCCGUGAAUACGUUCCCGGGCCUU